GUUUGGCAUUAUAUAUAUAUUAGAUAAUUGUUUAAUAAAGAUGUAUUGUUUUAUAUUACUUUUGUUGUGCAUAAGAAUUAGAAACUGACAUUGCCUGUUUACCUAAUGUAAUACCGGCUUCACACAUCAACGUAUAGAUCCGACGUACGUCGGCCGUGGUAAAAAAAUCAUGCACGCUUCCAAUACGCUAGUAAAUUUGAUGCAUUCAACCUGUCAAUCAUAUCUGUAUCGUGUGCACAACGACCUAAAACGAGUAUUGGGUGUGCGUAAAGCGUACCUAUGCGUUUCUCCUAGUCUUUCUACAUUCCCGACUGCAGGUCUGUCUAUAUGUGAAUGUUUGUCAAUAAGUCUGUCACAAUUCGCCCGUCUGUUUACAUGUUUACCAGUCCGUCUAUGCCCACUGGUUCGUCUACAUGUUCACUAGCUUUGAAAUAGCUUUCGGUAAGUGCGAUUAUUUCAGUGAUUUGUGUCUAUUGUUUUUAUGUAAGUGAUUAUUGUGCACCUUACCCAUAUUUUUAGGGACGCGAAUUGCAACUGAUAUUUUACAGUUUUUUUCUUGCGAUGUGUUGUCCUUAUGGUUUGGUUCAUUAGGGAGUGUUGGGUUUAUGGCCACCACAUUGUUUAUGUACCAAUGUCCAUUCUAAAGCCAGGAACAUGUAGUACAGUGGUUGUUGUUCAUAAUUCAUGUCGGUCAAGUUUUUUUCGUAAAUUAUUUUGUUAUCAAUAAGGCUAUUUGAUUUUUGUUUUUAAAUCUUAAUGGUCGGGGCAUUUAAUAGCCUAUACUAAAUAGAUUUUUUUUUUUCAUUUUUGGAGGCCGCUCGGUGGCCUUUAAAGACUUACUACCACGUCAUUGUAACUCUGGUUGAUACUUGUAUCAUUAGUGCUGGACCAUGGUCGAUCCUAUGCACCUUUGAGGCAGGCGGGAUAAUUUUGUAGAUCUUGUACAGCUCAAACUAAUGGGAGUAGUUCCUGUACUUCUCUAUGUCCCCAUGUUGCAUGGUUGGAGAGGGUGUAAUAUCUUCUGUAGGUUUGUGUGAGUUUCACCCGUAUCGGACUUCUUCUCCUUAAUGAAAGUUUUAAGGCGACGAAUAUUUUUGUAUGCAAUGUGCCCUUAACGUGUCUCAAACUUAUCUGUCGUGCAGAGUGUAUAUUAUGUACGUGCAGUUUACAGGUAUACGCUUGACAAACGCUUGAGCUGAAUGAAAUUUUUUAUGUUCCAUUAAAAUUUUCCUGAAGGAAAAGCGUUCACCAAGCGUAUACCUUUGCUUUUCGACGUACUUCAGACUUAUGGAACGCGGGUUUAAAUGCUUGCGUAGCGUUCCUCUGGUGAGCAACUAAGUUACGCAUACGAUGAUACGGACUUUGUUAAUUUUCUUUUUUGACUGAUUAUUUUACAUUGUCUUUUCGGGCCCUUUUAUAGCCCACUAUGCGGUACGUGCUUUGUCUGUUGUUGAAGGCCGUACGGAGACCCAUAGUUUGUACUUCUGUGUUAUUUUCGUUUCUUUUAGAUAGUUGUCUCAUUGACACCAAACCAUAUCUUCUUUUUUAUAUUCGAUAUCUUAUCGCCGACCUGGUUAAGUCUGCUAAAAAUGCAUCCAUGAUUCAUUUUUAGGUUAUCAGUCGUAAUGAAAGUGGCACAUUUAAUUCGUAGUUUCAUUGCUUGAAGCAGAGACAUAUAAUACAAUUGCUUGAAGUAUCAUUUCUUACAUCUGCAUGGUCAAAUGUGUAUUUUUUUAAAACAAAUUUUAGAUUUAGAUUUCAGUCACGGUUAUUUCCCCCCUUUUCAUAUUGAAUAUCUAUACUUAUCAGUCGCAUUUUAAUGACGAAAAGGAUUCAGAGGUUAUUAUGUGACCUCCUUGUUUUAAAUAACUUUAAAUUUGCAAUAUUAAUGAAA
Molecule: long non-coding RNA, 1894 nt
Filed under: Mytilus galloprovincialis (Mediterranean mussel)
Lineage: Eukaryota; Metazoa; Mollusca; Bivalvia; Mytilida; Mytilidae
Source: RNAcentral